CGCAGCCGCGGUAAUUCCAGCUCCAAUAGCGUAUAUUAAAGUUGUUGCAGUUAAAAAGCUCGUAGUUGAAUUUCGGGGUUAGUAGGUUGGUCAUGCCUCUGGUAUGUACUGGUCUCACUGAUUCCUCCUUCCUGAUGAGCCGUAAUGCCAUUAAUUUGGUGUUGCGGGGAAUCUGGACUGUUACUUUGAAAAAUUAGAGUGUUUAAAGCAAGCUAACGCUUGAAUACAUUAGCAUGGAAUAAUGAAAUAGGACGUUCGAUCCUAUUUUGUUGGUUCCUAGGAUUGACGUAAUGAUUAAUAGGGAUAGUUGGGGGCAUUAGUAUUCAAUUGUCAGAGGUGAAAUUCUUGGAUUUAUUGAAGACUAACUACUGCGAAAGCAUUUGCCAAGGAUGUUUUCAUUAAUCAAGAACGAAAGUUAGGGGAUCGAAGACGAUCAGAUACCGUCGUAGUCUUAACCAUAAACUAUGCCGACUAGGGAUCGGAUGAUGUUAAUUUUUUAAUGUACUCAUUCGGCGCCUUA
Molecule: unclassified non-coding RNA, 520 nt
Filed under: uncultured Glomus
Lineage: Eukaryota; Fungi; Glomeromycota; Glomeromycetes; Glomerales; Glomeraceae
Description: SSU rRNA
Rfam family: Eukaryotic small subunit ribosomal RNA
Source: RNAcentral